GGAAUUACACCUUGAAUCACACAUUAAGGCACAUUAAGUGUCAAUAAUACUACGAGUUUAGUUGCAAAUGAAUCUUACAGAUGCUUACACAGAUGUUCGUUCUAUAUCUUACAUUAAUUACUUAAGAAAAUACUUGAGUUAUUACCCAAUCAAAAAGACUAAAAAUCUUUUGGAGACAAUGAAAUCCGGAAGACUACGAUUUCUCAGUUGAACUGUAGCGAUUUUUUUCAAUCAACUAAAUGAAUUGCUGAGACAUGAGCACGAGCAAGAGAAAAUAGAUGAUGAAUAAGAGUGAAUAAGCGUGGACACACGAAUUGGACCAUCUCUGUACAAUAGUAAAAUGUGAAUAGUGUGGGUAGUGAGGCUGGAGUGGAGAAUGUAUUGGUGCCGGAAGUGACAGCAACACCAUCAGAAUUCCCGCUCAUGAAUAUGUGUUAAAAAAUCAUAGGAAAACCCCGAGAAAUUUUCAGAUACAUUAUGCAUCAAACAACUUAUUGAAAUGAGCCAUUAUCAUACAGAGAUGAUCCAAGUGUGAACCGAAUCAUAAAAUGAUAAUUUAUAAAGCAUAAUUUUAUUUGGAGUAAAGCUGUGACAAACGAUUGUCAUGAUAAAUUGAAUAAUGUUGCAUAUUUUUACAUAAUGAACAUUGUGGAAGACUUUUGAAAACCAAAAGUCAAUGACAAGGGUACAAUAUAAUCUUUUGAAGUUUAUCAAA
This is a long non-coding RNA of Chelonus insularis, 715 nucleotides long. RefSeq lists it as uncharacterized. Lineage: Eukaryota; Metazoa; Arthropoda; Insecta; Hymenoptera; Braconidae. The transcript is spliced from 4 exons. The record is from RefSeq and is a predicted model, not a curated record.